GACGAACGCUGGCGGCGUGCUUAACACAUGCAAGUCGUACGGUAAGGCCCUUUCGGGGGUACAGGAGGGGCGAACGGUUGAGUAACACGUGAGUAACCUGCCCACAACUUUGGGAUAACGCUAGGAAACUGGUGCUAAUACUGGAUAUGUGCUCCUGCUGCAUGGUGGGGGUUGGAAAGCUCCGGCGGUUGUUGAUGGACUCGCGGCCUAUCAGCUUGUUGGUGGGGUAGUGGCCUACCAAGGCGGCGACGGGUAGCCGGCCUGAGAGGGUGACCGGCCACAUUCGGAAUGAGAUACGGCCCAGACCCCAACGGGAGGCAGCAGUGGGGAAUAUUGAACAAUGGGCGCAAGCCUGAUGCAGCAACGCCGCGUGCGGGAUGACGGCCUACGGGUUGUAAAUCGCAUUCAGCAGGGACGAAGCUUUUUGUGACGGUAACUGCAGAAGAAGCACCGGCUAACUACGUG
RNAcentral lists this ribosomal RNA (465 nucleotides) under uncultured bacterium. RNAcentral's name for it is "partial 16S ribosomal RNA". It matches the Rfam family "Bacterial small subunit ribosomal RNA", at positions 28 to 507 of the family's 1533-position model. The record is from RNAcentral.